GUGGGGAAUAUUGCACAAUGGGGGGAACCCUGAUGCAGCGAUGCCGCGUGGAGGAAGAAGGUUUUCGGAUUGUAAACUCCUGUCGUAAGGGAAGAAAAAGGACGGUACCUUACAAGAAAGCUCCGGCUAACUACGUGCCAGCAGCCGCGGUAAUACGUAGGGAGCGAGCGUUGUCCGGAAUUACUGGGUGUAAAGGGAGCGUAGGCGGGAUUGCAAGUCAGAUGUGAAAACUAUGGGCUUAACCUAUAGACUGCAUUUGAAACUGUAGUUCUUGAGUGAAGUAGAGGUAAGCGGAAUUCCUAGUGUAGCGGUGAAAUGCGUAGAUAUUAGGAGGAACACCAGUGGCGAAGGCGGCUUGCUGGACGACAACUGACGCUGAGGCGCGAAAGCGUGGGGAGCAAACAGG
Molecule: ribosomal RNA, 406 nt
Filed under: uncultured bacterium
Lineage: Bacteria
Description: bacterial SSU rRNA
Rfam family: Bacterial small subunit ribosomal RNA
Source: RNAcentral